GAUAUAGACCCUUUUUGACAUUUGUGCCUAAACAGCUGUGGAUAAAAGCCAUGUGGAGAUGGAUAAACUGCACAAUUAAAAACUACAGAUGUCAACUUCAGGCCUACAAAGACCAGACACUGAAAAUAUCUCAUAUGUUAAGAGGUAGACUCUACAAUUAGGGCAAUUAAAAAGACAAAGGCAAAGAGAUGCUAGACUUGAGAGAGGCACCAGGCAACAAAAUAACAAGGAUUUAUCAAGAAGAGUUAACACUGCAGAACCCAGAAAGGAAAGACCAGGAAAGCUAGCUCCCUUCCCCCACCUGACAAAAUGCAAGAGAGGUUUAGGAUCUCUGGGAGCUGCGUUUUCAGCAGAGCAGUGGCAUGGCAUGGCAUGGCAUGAAUUGGGAUUGUAACUAUGGAAUCUUCUUCCACUGACUCUGCAGACAUCCUGAGUUAUAAUACUUCAAGAAGACAAUCACAGCAGGAUACAGUCUUCAGAGAAAUAUUCUGCUUUCUUU
Heterocephalus glaber (naked mole-rat) is the source of this 499-nucleotide non-coding RNA. The record is from RefSeq and is a predicted model, not a curated record. Lineage: Eukaryota; Metazoa; Chordata; Mammalia; Rodentia; Bathyergidae.